RNAcentral lists this ribosomal RNA (497 nucleotides) under uncultured bacterium. RNAcentral's name for it is "partial 16S ribosomal RNA". It matches the Rfam family "Bacterial small subunit ribosomal RNA", at positions 28 to 507 of the family's 1533-position model. The record is from RNAcentral.
GAUGAACGCUGGCGGCGUGCCUAAUACAUGCAAGUCGAGCGAACGGACGAGAAGCUUGCUUCUCUGAUGUUAGCGGCGGACGGGUGAGUAACACGUGGAUAACCUACCUAUAAGACUGGGAUAACUUCGGGAAACCGGAGCUAAUACCGGAUAAUAUUUUGAACCGCAUGGUUCAAAAGUGAAAGACGGUCUUGCUGUCUCUUAUAGAUGGAUCCGCGCUGCAUUAGCUAGUUGGUAAGGUAACGGCUUACCAAGGCAACGAUGCAUAGCCGACCUGAGAGGGUGAUCGGCCACACUGGAACUGAGACACGGUCCAGACUCCUACGGGAGGCAGCAGUAGGGAAUCUUCCGCAAUGGGCGAAAGCCUGACGGAGCAACGCCGCGUGAGUGAUGAAGGUCUUCGGAUCGUAAAACUCUGUUAUUAGGGAAGAACAUAUGUGUAAGUAAAUGUGCACAUCUUGACGGUACCUAAUCAGAAAGCAACGGCUAACUACGUG